AUUUAAAAAGGUUGAAUAUACGCAUAAGUAUUAACAUUAGUUCCGAAUAUAUUGAGAAACGGAUUUCGAAGUUUCCCUCUCUUGUGGAUUUGGAACUGACGGUUGAUUGUUGGAAACCAGUGGAGAUGAAAAUGUCGCUUCAUCAACUCGAGACAGUAAAAAUACAUUGUAGUUAUAUGAAGAACAGCAUCGAUACUCCAAGUCUUCAUUUUUACUCGUACAGUGAUCAUAUAAAG
This 236-nucleotide long non-coding RNA is filed under the name Malus domestica (apple). RNAcentral describes it as "long non-coding RNA (MDOM_LNC008200)". The record is from RNAcentral. Lineage: Eukaryota; Viridiplantae; Streptophyta; Magnoliopsida; Rosales; Rosaceae.